Erinaceus europaeus (western European hedgehog) is the source of this 531-nucleotide long non-coding RNA. RefSeq lists it as uncharacterized. The record is from RefSeq and is a predicted model, not a curated record. The transcript has 2 exons. NCBI's taxonomy places the organism in Eukaryota, Metazoa, Chordata, Mammalia, Eulipotyphla, Erinaceidae.
AUACCAGCAUGCAAAUGGUGGGCACUCAAGCAUAAGGAGUGUUGAUAAGGCAACAGAAAGACAUUAACCAUACCUAUUUUCCCAGCAUCCGUUUUCAGGUUGAAAUCCCAGUUUCUUCGCAGCUUCAUGGACAUCUUGCUUCCGGUUCGGGUUCCAGGUGAUACCAUAAUGCCAACUGGACUUCCUUGGGCAGAGGACCCCACCAUGUAUCUUGAAGCCCCACCUCCUCAGACCCCUGGCCUUCUAGGGAAAGAGAGAGAAAGUCUGGGAGUAUGGAUUGACCUGCCAACACCCAUGUUCAGCAGAGGAGCAAUUACAGAAGCCAGACCUUCUACCUUCUGUACCCCACAGUGAUCCUGGGUCCAUACUCCCAGAGAGAUAAAGAAUAGGGAAGCUAUCAAGGGAAGGGAUUGGAUAUGGAGCUGGGAGUGUGCAUUGUGUGGAAAUGUACCCCUCUUAUCCUAUGGUCUUGUCAAUAUUUCCAUUUUAUAAAUAAAAAUAAAUAAAUAAAUAAAACAGGUUCUUGAAUAG